AUUGAACGCUGGCGGCAGGCCUAACACAUGCAAGUCGAGCGGAUGAAGGGAGCUUGCUCCUGGAUUCAGCGGCGGACGGGUGAGUAAUGCCUAGGAAUCUGCCUGGUAGUGGGGGAUAACGUCCGGAAACGGGCGCUAAUACCGCAUACGUCCUGAGGGAGAAAGUGGGGGAUCUUCGGACCUCACGCUAUCAGAUGAGCCUAGGUCGGAUUAGCUAGUUGGUGGGGUAACGGCCUACCAAGGCGACGAUCCGUAACUGGUCUGAGAGGAUGAUCAGUCACACUGGAACUGAGACACGGACCAGACUCCUACGGGAGGCAGCAGUGGGGAAUAUUGGACAAUGGGCGAAAGCCUGAUCCAGCCAUGCCGCGUGUGUGAAGAAGGUCUUCGGAUUGUAAAGCACUUUAAGUUGGGAGGAAGGGCAGUAAGUUAAUACCUUGCUGUUUUGACGUUACCAACAGAAUAAGCACCGGCUAACUUCGUG
Molecule: ribosomal RNA, 484 nt
Filed under: uncultured bacterium
Lineage: Bacteria
Description: partial 16S ribosomal RNA
Rfam family: Bacterial small subunit ribosomal RNA
Source: RNAcentral